This 3020-nucleotide long non-coding RNA is filed under the name Canis lupus familiaris (dog). Its description in RNAcentral is "lncRNA (ENSCAFG00845020205.1)". The record is from RNAcentral. Lineage: Eukaryota; Metazoa; Chordata; Mammalia; Carnivora; Canidae.
GCAGAGAUGGGGAGGGGGACCCCCCAGUGGCUAUGCUUCCAACAGAGAUCGCGGCUACCCUGGAAUAACUCACCGGAGGGAUGUGUAAAUGGCUUUCUAGGUAAUCGUAAAUUGGGUUUUCGAGGAUGAGCGUCCAGUUAUUUCCAGAACUGCUGCAAACAUCUGAAAACCAAGAAUGUCACGCAGCUUGUCAAAAUAAAUGCAAACUGUGGUGCAGUUUUAGAAAAAUGACAAAAAAAAAAAAUAGGGUUUUGCUGAGAAAAAAAAAGGUUUUGCUGAGGAAAAAGAAAAAAAAAUAGGGUUUUGCUGAGGAAAAAGAAAAAAAAGAUAGGGUUUUGCUGAGGAAAAACAAAAAAGAUAGGGUUUUGCUGAGGAAAAAGAAAAAAAGGGUUUUGCUGAGGAAAAAGAAAAAAAAGGGUUUUGCUGAAGAAAAACAAAAAAGGGUUUUGCUGAGGAAAAAGAAAAAAGGGUUUUGCUGAGGAAAAAGAAAAAAAGAUAGGGUUUUGCUGAGGAAAAAAAAGGGUUUUGCUGAGGAAAAAAAAAAAGGUUUUGCUGAGGAAAAAGACAAAAAAGAUAGGGUUUUGCUGAGGAAAAAACAAAAAAGAUAGGGUUUUGCUGAGGAAAAAGAAAAAAAAGGGUUUUGCUGAGGAAAAAGGAAAAAAAAGGGUUUUGCUGAGGAAAAAGAAAAAAAAGAUAGGGUUUUGCUGAGGAAGAUAAGACUUUCCUGCUGUGCCUUACAGGCCCCGCCUCUGCAGCUUUUUAUUGGCUCCUUUCAAAUGUUGGAAUUCCUCGGGAUGAGGUUAUGGAUUAUACCCUUUAUACUCUCUUCCCUGCCUUUAAACAGCUCCCACCUGAUGGGAGAUGCCUCACCACCGUUUUCUAGCACAAUAGCCUUUUCUAAUCACAUCAUGUAUAAUCUGUACUUCUUUCAUUAUUUACUUAUUUUUUCCCAUUGUCUAUUUGCUCUAGUAAACAUAAGGUCCAGAGGGCAGGGACCAUAUAUGUCUUCGUUCCCUCUUGUAUUCCUGGGGCCUAGCCUCGUGCCUGGCUCAAAAGAGUGCUUCAUAAAUAUUCUAUGAAUGAAAGAGCUCUCAUCGCCUAUUUCAUCCGGCCCCUGUAUAAGACCACUUCUCAAAAUCUUUUGGGUUUUUUUUUUGUCUACCUCUUUAGUUAAUUUAUUUUUUAGAGAAGUAGAGGGAGAGAGAGAGAAUCUCAAGCAGGCUGCACACCCAGUGUGGAGCCUGACAGGUAUGAUCUCACAACCCUGAGAUGAUGACCUGAGCCAAAAUCAAGAGUCCGUGGUUUAACCGACUGAGCCACCCAGGCACCCCACAUCCACCUCUAAUUUUUUUAAUCAGUAUGUUUUGUUUUUCUACAUAACGCCUUUUCUCCAGGCCCGCAAUGAAAAACUGGUCUACUCGCCAAAACCCUCCCCCAAUUUUCAGUCCUCAGGGGGCAAUGCUUCCAACUUUUUUCGGCUCCUUCUGCUGGAAUGUACUUCCCUAUUUCUAAAUUACACGUUGCUGGUUUUUUUUAAUGGCAUAGACAUCUUCAGAAUUAGGGUAGUUGAGGAGUUAGGAGGAGGGAGUUGAGGGUAGUGAGGAGUCUCUUACUGCUCUUUCUACCCCAUUCUGCAAAUAGUUGUGUAAUAAUUUUUGGAUAAAGUCAGCGGUACUUAUCAUGACUACCUAUGACUCACUGUUGAGAUGAGUAAUGUAAUAUAUUUUUUUUAACGCCUAACCCCUGCCCCAAGCUAAGUAUGCUGUUCUUCCAUUUGUCUUUGUUGGUAGUGGUGUUUUUGAUUCACCUAUUGCUUGUUUCUUAUUUGUUUUUUUUCCAAAUGCUCCAGAGAAUCCAAUACCUCACAUCUGUCACAUCAAAUGAAACACUGCAACACAUCAAAUCCCAUCAGUUCCAUUUGCCCCCUCACUCCCCUGUUUUUGUUUUUUUAAAGGUUUUAUUUAUUUAUUCAUGAUAGUCACAGAGAGAGAGAGAGAAAGGCAGAGACACAGGCAGAGGGAGAAGCAGGCUCCAUGCACCAGGAGCCCGACGUGGGAUUCGAUCCCAGGUCUCCAGGAUUGCGCCCUGGGCCAAAGGCAGGCGCCAAACCGCUCUGCCAUCUAGGGAUCCCACUCCCCUGUUCUCUUCCUCCACUCUGUGUGUAUGACUAGUCCUGCUGAAGAGCCGUCAUCCUGGCACUUCCCUUUGCUGGUCACUUAUAUUGAGGCCUUAGUUUUUUUUUUUUUUUUAAUUUUUAUUUAUUUAUGAUAGUCACACAGAGAGAGAGAUUACCAAAGGAUUACCAACUAUAUGAAUACUAUGAAGCAGGAUACCAGGGGGAAUGUAGAGGCUUCCUACCCGGAGGGGUGGGGGCCCAGCAUAGGAAAAGAGGGAGAGGCAGCCCCAGAGGUGUUAGUAAGUGGACAUAGAGCACUAUAUUUUUUUUAUUUAUUUACGAUAGUCACAGAGAGAGAGAAAAAGAGAGGCAGAGACACAGGCAGAGGGAGAAGCAGGCUCCAUGCACCGGGAGCCCGACGUGGGACUCGAUCCCGGGUCUCCAGGAUCGCGCCCUGGGCCAAAGGCAGGCGCCAAACCACUGCGCCACCCAGGGAUCCCAAGGCCUUAGUUUUAUGGAUCUAGUAUCUUCCUAUUAGUUAUCCUUCAUUGCUGAAGCACUUUCUCUAGUAAAUACCUAAGGAAGUUCACACCAGAGAUAAAUUGAGUCUUUGCACACCUUAAAGUAUACCCAAGGUAAAAUCUCACUUCGUUCAUGAAACUUUUACAACCAGAAUUGAGUUCCAUCAUAUCUUACAAUCCUUACCAUAUCAUUCCUUGGCCAUAUACUCCCAUUGUGUAAUCACCUCAUUUUGUGCAUUUUAUCUUCCACACUAAUAAGAGCCAGAAACGUGUAUGAAUCCUUCAAAGCGCCUACUUCAGUAUUUCAUACAAAAAGUUAUUUGUUUGAUUCUUUGUAAUACCCAGUCCCAAGAAAAGGAUUCUAUUUCUUAAUGUGGAUAAAG